UCCCUUGACAUCGUGCGAACUUGGUAGAGAUACCUUGGUGCCUUCGGGAACGCACAGACAGGUGCUGCAUGGCUGUCGUCAGCUCGUGUUGUGAAAUGUUGGGUUAAGUCCCGUAACGAGCGCAACCCUUGUCCCUAUUUGCCAGCGAUUCGGUCGGGAACUCUAGGGAGACUGCCGGUGACAAACCGGAGGAAGGUGGGGACGACGUCAAGUCAUCAUGGCCCUUACGGGUAGGGCUACACACGUGCUACAAUGGCCGGUACAAAGGGUUGCGAAUCCGCGAGGUGGAGCUAAUCCCGAAAAGCCGGUCUCAGUCCGGAUCGGAGUCUGCAACUCGACUCCGUGAAGUCGGAAUCGCUAGUAAUCGUGCAUCAGAAUGGCACGGUGAAUACGUUCCCGGGUCUUGUAACACACCGAAA
This 419-nucleotide ribosomal RNA is filed under the name Halomonas sp. enrichment culture clone TTGE_FP_157. Its description in RNAcentral is "bacterial SSU rRNA". It matches the Rfam family "Bacterial small subunit ribosomal RNA", at positions 977 to 1385 of the family's 1533-position model. The record is from RNAcentral. Lineage: Bacteria; Pseudomonadati; Pseudomonadota; Gammaproteobacteria; Oceanospirillales; Halomonadaceae.